AAUAGUGAUGCUUGUUAUAAGGACACUUUCUGCCCUCCUCAUGUUUCUUUCUUUUUCUCUGUCCUAGACCCUCAUAUUCCAAGAUCGCUGCUAAGAAAAUGGAUGGCCACUUGGUACAUCUAGAAAGGUGAAGGACCAUUGGAGAUAUACCACAUGAGGCUAUAACUCUGUGAACUUUGAAAAUAUGGAAGAGCCACCCCAUAGCUCCUUGUAAUUUGCCUGGACUUAUGGUUUUACUGGUUUGGGGAACUCCUAGUGUGGAAAUUUCUUCAAUGGAAGCAGAUUCACAACUGGUGCUUCCCCAUCUCACAGAUUCUUGCUGAAAGAGAAGAGUUUUGGGGCCUUCUGGGUAAACAUGGCAGCAGUAUAGAAUCAGGAUCCUUCCUCCCCUCAUCAC
RNAcentral lists this long non-coding RNA (397 nucleotides) under Monodelphis domestica (gray short-tailed opossum). RNAcentral's name for it is "lncRNA (ENSMODG00000045594.1)". The record is from RNAcentral. Lineage: Eukaryota; Metazoa; Chordata; Mammalia; Didelphimorphia; Didelphidae.